GGGGGCGAAUGGCUUCGACCGGAUCGCGGAUGGAGAAGCUGCGUGCCCAGGACGCCGGUUGGCCUGGUUAAUCAUCCGGUACCUAAUUCUAAUUGGCAACUACCAGUAUGCCAUGGCGGCGUAAUUAACGCUGCCCGUCCUGUCGGACUGCGCCUGCGGGUCUGAUAAGGGCGUCAACUAGUGGGCUGGCUUCUGUCGGUCGUCCGGGCCGACGGGGGCGAGACGCACCGGAAUAGCCGAGCGUAGAGCCUGUCGUUUGGCGCUUCGCGAGGCGAAAUCUCAAUGGAACGACUAUGCACGUAGAUGCGGCUCUUGAAACAUCUCGGGACGGGGGUUCGAAUCCCCCCGCCUCCAUUC
Molecule: transfer-messenger RNA, 357 nt
Filed under: Planctomycetes bacterium RBG_13_62_9
Lineage: Bacteria; Pseudomonadati; Planctomycetota
Also listed under: 1 other name
Rfam family: transfer-messenger RNA
About the family: Bacterial tmRNA, also known as 10Sa RNA or SsrA, is named for its dual tRNA and mRNA-like properties. Its role is to liberate the mRNA from a stalled ribosome. To accomplish this part of the tmRNA is used as a reading frame that ends in a translation stop signal.
Source: RNAcentral